GAUGAAGAACGUAGCGAAAUGCGAUAAGUAAUGUGAAUUGCAGAAUUCGGUGAAUCAUCGAAUCUUUGAACGCACAUUGCGCCCGGUAGUAAUCUGCCGGGCAUGCCUGUCCGAGCGUCAUUUCAACCCUCGAACCACUAUUCGCGUAGCUGGAUCGGUGUUGGGGCACUACGGUGGAAUACCCGUAGGCCCCGAAAUGAAGUGGCGGUCCCGCCGCGGCGCCCCCAUGCGUAGUAACAUCUCGUCUCGCAUCGGGUCCCGGCGGAGGCCUGCCGUCAAGCCUAUUUUCUAAUUACAGAUGGUUUGACCUCGGAUCAGGUAGGGUUACCCGCUGAACUUAAGCAUAUCAAUAAGCGGAGGA
Molecule: unclassified non-coding RNA, 361 nt
Filed under: soil metagenome
Description: partial contains 5.8S ribosomal RNA, internal transcribed spacer 2, and large subunit ribosomal RNA
Rfam family: 5.8S ribosomal RNA (bases 1-120)
Source: RNAcentral